UGCCUUUUGUAGAAUGAGCCGGCGAGUCACGAUCAGCAGGCGAGGUUAAGCAGGAGAUGCGGAGCCGCAGCGAAAGCGAGUCUUAACAGGGCGGAAUAGUCUGAGGUCGUGGACCCGAAACCGGGUGAUCUAGCCAUGAGCAGGUUGAAGUCGGGGUAAGACCCGAUGGAGGACCGAACCGACCCCCGUUGAAACGUUGGCGGAUGACUUGUGGCUAGGGGUGAAAUUCCAAUCGAACCCGGAGAUAGCUGGUUCUCCCCGAAAUAGCUUUAGGGCUAGCGUCGCAGCGAGAGAGCCGUGAAGGUAGAGCACUGAAUAUGCGAUGGCCGCAUCCCGCGGUACUGAGCAUAA
This 351-nucleotide ribosomal RNA is filed under the name Catenibacterium mitsuokai. RNAcentral's name for it is "partial 23S ribosomal RNA". It matches the Rfam family "Bacterial large subunit ribosomal RNA", at positions 602 to 948 of the family's 2925-position model. Lineage: Bacteria; Bacillati; Bacillota; Erysipelotrichia; Erysipelotrichales; Coprobacillaceae. The record is from RNAcentral.